Molecule: long non-coding RNA, 947 nt
Filed under: Amborella trichopoda
Lineage: Eukaryota; Viridiplantae; Streptophyta; Magnoliopsida; Amborellales; Amborellaceae
Description: long non-coding RNA (ATRI_LNC002615)
Source: RNAcentral
GAGGCUUCAAGCAAGCUGUGUUUUUGCAAAGAGUCUUAAGGAAGGCCUUAUAAGAGAGUGUAGAGUUUGAUCUAUCCCUUCUUACGCUUGACGUCUCAUUCAGGCUAGUAUGUCGAGUGAGGGAUUACUCAGACUUCCAGCUUGGUUGCACGAGCAUCUUUAGCUCCUCCCUGUCAAGUGGAGCCCUCGGAACGUCGACUCCACUGGUAAGAGGUGCUGCUUAAGUGAGUUGAGUGGGCCAAGCAGGCUCUCCAUUCACCAUCUCCCUUCAACUAUAUUCUUGGCUUACUAAAGAUGAGGUUCAUCUAGUCAGUCCCUUUGUCAACCACAUGUGUCUAUCUUUUUUAUCACCUCAUCAUUCACAACAUGCUCUGUCAUUAGGUUGUUCUUUUCCUUCAAGAUUUAUGCCAAGGGGACAUGAGCUCUUCAUUAUUGCCUGAGGUAAUAUUGUUCCCACUAUCCAAGGAUUGACAUGGACCAUCACAGAGAGAGGAUAGGAUUUGUUGACUUUGGUCUGUGUGUGUGUGUGGUCGUUCGACAUGCUUUUGGCUACUCGACUACUAGCUGUAGUUGCUUGACAUGCUUUUGUCCACUUGGUGUGCUUCCGUUGGGGCAUUUUUGUGCUUGGGGUCAUGUCGGUUUCCACUAGUCUAUUAAUUUAAGAAAGUAGUCAAGUAGAAAAUUGAUUUGUCUCUCUCCCAACCAAACUACCACAAUGUUUAGGGUCAAACUCAUGUGAACCAAUUGAGAAGAAGUAGAGGAGGGGUUUAGAGGAUUCAGUCACUUAUUGACUGAGUUAGAGGAUUCCUUCUCGACGGAACGGUGAGGGGGAGCUACUGAUCUGUGAGGUUCUGCGGGCCUUGAGGAGAUUGGUGAACUGCUCGGCAUUCUAGCCCCCUACCCCUAGGUUUAUAGUUGAUGCGCUUUGCAUCUUAGAGAAGAAGACA